This 140-nucleotide ribosomal RNA is filed under the name uncultured bacterium. RNAcentral describes it as "partial 16S ribosomal RNA". The record is from RNAcentral.
CACGUAGUUAGCCGGCGCUUUUUCUGCAGGUACCGUCACUUUCGCUUCUUCCCUGCUAAAAGAGGUUUACAACCCGAAGGCCGUCGUCCCCCACGCGGCGUUGCUGCAUCAGGCUUGCGCCCAUUGUGCAAUAUUCCCCA